CAGCAGCCACGGGAAUACGUAGGGUGCGAGCGUUAAUCGGAAUUACUGGGCGUAAAGCGUGCGCAGGCGGUUGUGUAAGACAGGUGUGAAAUCCCCGGGCUUAACCUGGGAACUGCGCUUGUGACUGCACAGCUAGAGUAUGGCAGAGGGGGGUGGAAUUCCACGUGUAGCAGUGAAAUGCGUAGAGAUGUGGAGGAACACCGAUGGCGAAGGCAGCCCCCUGGGCCAAUACUGACGCUCAUGCACGAAAGCGAGGGGAGCAAACAGGAUUAGAUACCCCGGUAGUCCCUGUCUCUUAUAC
RNAcentral lists this ribosomal RNA (301 nucleotides) under uncultured bacterium. RNAcentral's name for it is "partial 16S ribosomal RNA". It matches the Rfam family "Bacterial small subunit ribosomal RNA", at positions 509 to 807 of the family's 1533-position model. The record is from RNAcentral.